RNAcentral lists this non-coding RNA (50 nucleotides) under Nocardia exalbida NBRC 100660. Its description in RNAcentral is "L31-Actinobacteria ribosomal protein leader". It matches the Rfam family "L31-Actinobacteria ribosomal protein leader". Lineage: Bacteria; Bacillati; Actinomycetota; Actinomycetes; Mycobacteriales; Nocardiaceae. The record is from RNAcentral.
UCGGUUCCGGUUCACGCUCAGCGCUUGCACGCGCGGGCGACCCGGCGACC